Molecule: ribosomal RNA, 535 nt
Filed under: Uta stansburiana
Lineage: Eukaryota; Metazoa; Chordata; Lepidosauria; Squamata; Phrynosomatidae
Description: partial large subunit ribosomal RNA
Rfam family: Bacterial large subunit ribosomal RNA
Source: RNAcentral
AGCCUUUAGCAUAUUUUAAGUAUUAAAGGUGACGCCUGCCCAGUGAACAAUUCAACGGCCGCGGUAUCCUAACCGUGCAAAGGUAGCGUAAUCACUUGUCCCCUAAAUAGGGACCUGUAUGAACGGCUAAAUGAGGACUAAUCUGUCUCCUCUAACCAAUCAGUGAAACUGAUCUGCCAGUACAAAAGCUGGCAUUUUUUCAUAAGACGAGAAGACCCUGUGGAGCUUUAAAUUUUAAGCCACAAACCACUAAUUUUAAAUAGUACACUAUGGCCAAAAAUUUUAAGUUGGGGCGACUUCGGAAAAAAACAAAACUUCCGAGCAUAAAGAAUAUUAAUCUUACCAAGACCUACGAGUCAAAGCAAAAUCAGACCCAGUAAAACUGAUCAUCGAACCAAGUUACCCCAGGGAUAACAGCGCAAUCCUCUUCAAGAGUCCAUAUCGACAAGAGGGUUUACGACCUCGAUGUUGGAUCAGGACACCCAAAUGGUGCAGCCGCUAUUAAGGGUUCGUUUGUUCAACGAUUAAUAGUCCU